UGGUUCUUUCCCCAGGUGAUCAAUCAGUGGUUCAGGCUGUGACUCAACAGUUCUCAUACAGUAUGUAAUAACCCUGUCUUACAUUAAAGGGGGCAGGUGGUGGUGUAAGGGGAGUUUUUCUUAGUUCUAUCUUGCUUUCUGUCUCAGGCUUGUUGUACACCUCUGUGAUGUACUUGUCGCAUCUCCAACAAGGAGUUAAUUUGUUCAUAUAAAUUAUGUGUAAAGUGCUAUAGAAAGUCAUGCUUGCAGAAUCUAUGGACCUGUGGGACUCAGUAGUCUAUGUUGUUUGUACAGUGACCAUGUACAAAACUAACUGCUGUCCGCAACUCUCACAAUGGCUCUAUGCAGAGAUCAGUUUUCUACAGGAUAAUGUAGUUUUUCAGCUUAAGUUAUUUAAUACAACAGUUCAGUUCAUAUAUGUCAAAAUUCAACUCAGUAUGUAGGGGGCAGUAGGUAUUAUAAAAUAUCUACUAGAUGACAUGAAUCAGCUGAUGAAAUUGUAGAAGCUUAUUAUAUGUGCAUAUGCAGUCCCAUUCAACUGAAAGUCUGUCAAGAAAUAAAAAAUAGUUCCUUAUUUUUGAUUAUACUUAUUCAUUCUAUUAAUCUCCAUUAAUAUUCAGAAUAUUACUGUCAAGUGGGGUGAGAAUAACAUGCUAAUAAUGAUCUCCAGUUCCUUACUGAAUUUAAAUAGAUUGAUAUCUGUCAAGAAAUCAUGCUCAUCAUCACAUCCCGCUUGUAAUCUGUGACAUAUCUCUACCUAUUUUGUCAGCGUUCAAACACUAUACUGACAGGUGCUGUUUAGGUCCUGAAUAUUGAAAUACUAAAGCUUUCUAUAAAUAUAACCAACAUUAACAUCAAAGUCUUAACUCUAGGUGGCAGUUUAUUCCAUCUUUUUGUUUUUUUUAAAGUAGGUUUAGCAGCAGCAUAUUGAUUAGCAAGCUUUUCUAAAUGCAACAUUAUAAAUAUUGAAAGAAAAAGCAAGUAAAGCUAUGAUAGCAGCUAUCCUGAUUUUUAUGUAUACUUUCCUAGAACCAUUGAGUGACUGAGUUUUAGAGAGUAUGACUCACAAAUUUUAGCUUCCAACUGAUUGCGAUUAUCAUUGAAUCUGAGAUGAUUGGGAAUGGCCUGAUCCUAAAAACUCUCUGAAGCUUCUUUUACCAAAUGUGGUGUCAAACCUGUUGGUAGCUACUUAAUAAUUUGUCUCCAAUAUUCUUAUUGUUGCCAUGCCAAGUACUUGAUGUUGGUUGUUGCUCCUGAGCAGCCCACAGCUGUUUUUGCAGCCUUACGCUGAGACUUUUGCUGUUGCAAUACAACCCUUCUGCAAGACAUUUGCACCAACAUUGUGCAUUCACAGCAAGCUAACUUUUUCUAUUUACGCUUGCUGAACUGCGUAAAACUACUGCUUCUUUAAGGAUAUAACCUCCCCAACUGCUUUCGAAAUAAGUCAGACACAAGACGGAGUAUUCAUAAAGAAUUAAAUAGGGGUGAAAGAAGAAUCAACAAGCAGUGGUGUAGUAAUGCUGUGUUUGUCCCACGUGCAGUUAAACCAGUGUAGUUCUCCAGGAACUCUGAUCAGAGCUGUUUUAUUGAAGCUUGACAGCCGUAUAAUGUGGGAAAGUAGAUAACUUUUAGAGCAUGUAGGAGUGAUUCAAUAAGUAAGCACUCUGAAAAGUUAUUGGCAAAUUCCUCAGUCACUAGAAUUGAAAAAGAUGAUAGAUUUUCAGCACAAUUUUGGGUAUUUCAAUUUUGCUCUCUGCCUUUUGACUGUGAGGGGCAAUUGUGAGCAUUCAUCAUUUAACAGGCUUCAGAGUAUUCCUGGUAAGAAAUGCUAAUACUCAGACGCAGUAGAUGAUAGCUAUACUCAGUUUUUUUCUGGAGCUUGAGUUCACUGCAGAUAUUACUGCUUGAAGUUAGAUUUUUAAGGAGUUAAUCAAUUUGGGCUGCACAAUUGAAUUAAAUCAUUGAAGGCCUGUACAAAGCCAAGAAUAUUCUAUUCUGAGCUCACAGCCUUUAACAUAACUCGGUAUGCUUAAGUCAGUCUCAGAGGCUUGCCACCAAUCUGGUUUUGUAGAAGCACUGGUGGGCUGAUGAUUUUAAAGAGGACAUUUUCAUGUUAAGAAGAGAAUCAUAACACCAUAAUGUUCAGGUUGGAAGGGAAGAUCUCUGGGAGGUUCUAGUCCCAGCUGCUCUGCUUUGAGCAGGAGUUAGGAGUCGGACUGGGUUAUUCAAAUCUCUGCCAAGAGGUUCAUUUUGUAGGAUGAUGACUGUUGUAUUACGGAUGCGAAGAAAGCCAAGGGAGAGGAAGGCACAUCCUUCACAUUGGCAGGAAGUUAUUUCUGAAACUGACAUAAUACCUUGUAAUUGCUAGAGUCAGUAGGCAGUAUUGAGUGUUACUUACAAGGAAAAAAUGUUAGCCUUAUUAACAGGCAUAUACUUCAACAGAAUUCUGAAGUUUCAUGUGAUGCACCGUGACACUUGAGGCAUAAACAUUUGACAGGCAGCAAGAACAAGGACCACUGUUUGAACCAUAUUUUUUUCUAGUUGGAAAAUCUAAAAUGUAAAGCUGAGAAUUUCACUACAGACCUCCUUUGCAAAACCAUGCACAUUGGAAAAGUUCAGUAGAAGAAAUAUAGACAGGUAAGAAGGUUCAGAGAGAAGGCAUAACCUGUCAGAAACAAAUCUCCAGCAGUUACUGUGGAUGGACUAGGCUAUGAUCAGUCUGCUAAGCAAGAUGAAUGAAGACAUGAACUAACAUAAAAUGUAAGCAAAGUGGACACAAAGUGUUUUGUGGCACAACUAAGAUCAUCUCAGAUGGUCUGAUAUUCUCUUCUAGAUAGAAAAUAAAUAAAGAAAGAAAAAGUUAGUGAGUGCUUUGGACCUUCUUUGCUACAGAGGGAGGGAAUUGAAUACAGCAUGGUGUGUUGUCAAGCACUAAGCAUUUGGUAAGAGGAAAAUAUAUAGAUCAGCUUGGACAAUUCCUUUGUGUGCAGUUAUAGAUUAUCAACCAUUACUUUCACAGAAAUUACAUAUAAACAGGCAAAAUCUUAUUAUGGUUCACCAAAGGGAAUAAUCUAAAUACCUGAGGGAAAAAGAAGAAAUAAAUAGUACAGAGCUUAGAAAGACAAGAAAUAGGGCUAAAAGAAAACAUUUAAUGUUAGGUUGAGGAGGAUACUUAAAAAGGAGAGACUAGAGAAGGAGUUAAAUAUACAAAGAAGGAAACUGUAUGUGCUUUUUUUAUGUUGCCUUUUGUUGAUUCGGUAACAAGAAAACCUAUCCUGCUGUUAUCAAUGACAGUGAAAAAAGUUCAGUGGCACCAGCUGUGUCCGGAUCAGGCUCACUAACUGCAGCACCUGUAAGUGAGGUGGGAACAGAUGCGUGUGCUCUAUCUAACCCGUGUGCAGGGUGUACCAUAUGCUAGCUGUUUGGUUUAGAGUUAAUUGGAAAAUGUCCCCAGGUUAGACCUAAAUGUCAUUGUUGUGCUAACUAUUCUCCUUGUGCAAUGUUUCCCACCUGCUGGAGUGUUUACUGUUGAUGCUAAAGAUCUCAAUUGAUGUUUCCUAUGAGCCUAGGUGAGUGUGGAUAAUUUUAGGUGUUUGAUUACUGGGACUCUAUAUCAUAUCUGAGUACUCAGAAUAUUAUAUGAAGAUAAGCGGAGCUUUGUUGGGUGACUGGCAAAACACCAGCACCACUUUACUUGUAGGCAGGCUAGCAAAAAGUUUUUUAAUCUGACAGUAUCUAAUUUAAAGAAAAAAUAUUUGCAUAAAAUGUGGAAUGUCAACAUUUUCAGGCAGACUUCUUUGAACAUCAAGAUAUAUGUGAUAGUUCCUAAGUUGGAAAGGACUUCUGUAUUCUGUGUUUAUAGAAAUGAAGCAUUUCAACUGACACUGUAGAAGUUUGCCACAGGAAGUUUGAGAGACACUUGCCUCACACAUCCCACAAAUUAUAGGCUACUUUUGGGACUUAUUCAGACCUGGUUCACUUUGAAUGAUGUUUAAUAUUGCUAAAAACAGCAAAAUAUUUGAAGUUAAAUGCUGCUUUCAGAAGUGACAAAAUAUUUAAGAGUUAGCUGAGAGUCUAAAAAACUAUGUCACCAUCCCCAUUGCUAUUCCAUCUAUUUCUCUUACACAUCAUGGUUUUUGCUUGUAUGUAACGGAAAUACUAAGUCAUGUCUUGAACCAGUGAUUGAGCACCUGGUGGGAAGGCAGGGCCAACAAGGGCCCAGCAAUGCAUCUGAGUGACUGGAAGGGGUGAAGCCAGGAUCGAUCCCUUCCCAGGCCUCAUUUAAGAAUUGGCAAUGGAGGCAAGGGUAUCUCUUUGUAGAUCCUUUUGCACCUGAGGUCUUCUAAAGGUAAGUACUUUUCUCACUUUAUGUAAGAAACUCUGCAGAUAACCAUUAUAAUCCUUAUAAUUCAGGCACGUAAUCUAAGUGCUUUAAAUAAGGGUAAUUUCUAAUGACUUUGUGCAGUAAUGUAUGCUUUCAUUUUAAUGAAUACUCCUUUUGAAAAAGGUCUAGUAGAACUGUACUCAACCUAAAUGAACUAGUGGAACACUCACACCAAGUUGAUGCAGUAAGAACAUAAAAUCUUACCUAAUCUUUUGUGUUUCUAUAACUGUUAGCUAUAUAUCUGCCUUCACUAAAUUCUGUACAAUGAGGAUUUGAUGCCUGCAUUCUGGUAGAUCUGUGGAAUAUCCUUUAUUCUCCCAAAAAUUUCCUAUGGAAUUCAGUCCAUUACAGAAUAUACUUAUUUAUUAUCUAAUCACUCUGAAAGUUCUCUCCCCUACAGUAGAUGGGUACGUGUCUUACUAUCCAGAGUGAAACUGUAGACCAUGAUGUGGUAAGCUUUACUGAUACAAAAGCAACUGAGAUCCACGUGAUAUGUUGCCCUGCAGGAGAUAACAUUGUGCAGACACCUGAAGAGUGAGCAAACUGUGUCACUACUUAAGUUCUUUAGAAUGCAAUUAAAUGAAAUGUUUCUCAAAGAAGACAGUUAAAGGAAAAGACAUCCUCCACGAGAUGAGGUCCUUCCAAAAACUCAUCCUAACAAGCUCUGCUUUCCUGCUUUUUUCUUCUCUUAAUACAAUUCAAAUCAAGGCAGGCUGUACAAUCUGCUUUUGUCAUUAAUGCUUUAUGUGCUAUCCAGUUUUCUCUUCCAAAUCCUAUUAUUUUCAUUAUAACCAACUAAACUGUCUGACAGUAAGAAUGUUAAGCUCAAUCACAGAGGCUCUUGCAUUGGUGCAAUUGGGUCCCAUUACAAAAUGGGAGGCAUCUCAGGGUUGGCAAGUUCAGUUUCAGUGCUUUUUGAAGACCUUCAUAUGGUAUAUAACACUUCUGAGUUCACUGAUCUCUCUGGUUUUGUUCUCUUAUUUCUGUCAUGAAAAUACCCAAAUCCUGAACUUCUGGCUCAGAAGGAAUUCAUUACUAAGACUUCUUCCAUCUCUUAUCCUCAAUUUAAUUAGCUCCCUUAGAUGAAUGCCCUCUCAUACAGGUAUCUACACUGUCAUCUCAUCUUUUUCCUCCAAAAGAUAUGCUCUAAGAAAGACUGUGGACCAAUUCAGACCACUGAAUGCAAGUUCGAAGUGCUGUCUUUUCAGUUUUGGCAGAAAUAAUUCAAAGCAUGUGAAGCUCCACAUCAUGUGAGAAACACUAUCGUAUCUGACCCUGGAACUUCCAAAGGCAGGUGUUUUUCUCUUUCAAAUAAUUUAAAAAUUGAACCACAACGUCUCCACCACGUUAUUUUCUUACAUUAAAUCUCUUUAAUGUUUGCAGCGUUUGCAGGAAGCUCCAAUGUGAGUCUGGGAAUUAUAUUAUUUCUUUCCUCAGAGAGUUCACAAUUAAACAGGUCUAUGUACCAGAUUCCUUCUAAGAAAUCUCAAAUGUCUUUGGCAAGAGGAAAUCACUGUGGAGUCUGAAUGGAUCAAGGAGAACAGAAGAUUCCACAAUCUCUCUGUUCAAGAUGUUUGACAGCUAGUGAAUAUAAUUCUUAACUAAACUGGAUCAAGGCCUUCUAUGUGGGAAUUACUAAAACCUGCAAAGAACAGUUACAGACACCUGAAGCUGCUGGAUAUCUGAGCACAAUGUCAGCGUGUUCAUUGGUCCUGUAUUGCCGAAGUUUUCUCUUCCAGUUUCCACUGAGCAUAGCAGCCACUUAAGGGCAGAAUUCAGUUCUGCUGCAUUGUCUGCGACAGAAGAACAACAGCAUACAGAUAGGAGACUAAGCAUGCAACACUACUGGAACACAAGAAUGUAGAAAAAAUUUUAAUAAAUAAGGAAUAUACAAGGACUGCUCAGGAAAUAAUGCCUCCUGUUUUAUAAUAUUGGCCUAUGAUAUUAGAGGCAGAUGGUGGUGGUAUGACAAUAGAGAUUAAACCUUCCCACCAAUACUCCUUUACAUGUUGUUG
This is a non-coding RNA of Meleagris gallopavo (turkey), 6399 nucleotides long. Lineage: Eukaryota; Metazoa; Chordata; Aves; Galliformes; Phasianidae. The record is from RefSeq and is a predicted model, not a curated record.